Long non-coding RNA from Juglans microcarpa x Juglans regia, 136 nucleotides. RefSeq lists it as uncharacterized. Lineage: Eukaryota; Viridiplantae; Streptophyta; Magnoliopsida; Fagales; Juglandaceae. The record is from RefSeq and is a predicted model, not a curated record. The transcript is spliced from 2 exons.
UUUUUUCUGUCACUAUGAGUUUCGUUCUGAGUUUAACAAAUCUGUUUAGAUAUCUACACAUGUACUACAUCUUUUGAUUUAUUUCUUUUCCACAUGUCAGUAUAAGAUUGUUUCAUAUAUGAGGAUCUUACUUUUA